GACGAACGCUGGCGGCGUGCUUAACACAUGCAAGUCGAACGGAAAGGCCUGCUUUCCCUUGUGGAUUGCGGGUGCUCGAGUGGCGAACGGGUGAGUAACACGUGAGUGAUCUGCCCCCAACUUGGGUAUAAGCCUGGGAAACUGGGUCUAAUUCCCGAUAGGACUGCAGGGUGGUGCCUGUGGUGGAAAACGAUUUUCUAGUGGUUGGGGAUGAGCUCGCGGCCUAUCAGCUUGUUGGUGGGGUAAUGGCCUACCAAGGCGGCGACGGGUAGCCGGCCUGAGAGGGUGGACGGGCACAUUGGGACUGAGAUACGGCCCAGACUCCGACGGGAGGCAGCAGUGGGGAAUAGUGGACAAUGGGCGGAAGCCUGAUGCAGCGACGCCGCGUGGGGGAUGACGGCCUUCGGGUUGUAAACUCCUUUCGACCGCGAGGAAGCCACCUGGUUGGAAGGGUGGUGACGGUAGUGGUAGAAGAAGCACCGGCUAACUACGUG
This 494-nucleotide ribosomal RNA is filed under the name uncultured bacterium. Its description in RNAcentral is "partial 16S ribosomal RNA". It matches the Rfam family "Bacterial small subunit ribosomal RNA", at positions 28 to 507 of the family's 1533-position model. The record is from RNAcentral.